RNAcentral lists this ribosomal RNA (1497 nucleotides) under uncultured Pseudomonas sp. RNAcentral describes it as "16S ribosomal RNA". It matches the Rfam family "Bacterial small subunit ribosomal RNA". Lineage: Bacteria; Pseudomonadati; Pseudomonadota; Gammaproteobacteria; Pseudomonadales; Pseudomonadaceae. The record is from RNAcentral.
GAGUUUGAUCAUGGCUCAGAUUGAACGCUGGCGGCAGGCCUAACACAUGCAAGUCGAGCGGAUGAGAAGAGCUUGCUCUUCGAUUCAGCGGCGGACGGGUGAGUAAUGCCUAGGAAUCUGCCUGGUAGUGGGGGACAACGUUUCGAAAGGAACGCUAAUACCGCAUACGUCCUACGGGAGAAAGCAGGGGACCUUCGGGCCUUGCGCUAUCAGAUGAGCCUAGGUCGGAUUAGCUAGUUGGUGAGGUAAUGGCUCACCAAGGCGACGAUCCGUAACUGGUCUGAGAGGAUGAUCAGUCACACUGGAACUGAGACACGGUCCAGACUCCUACGGGAGGCAGCAGUGGGGAAUAUUGGACAAUGGGCGAAAGCCUGAUCCAGCCAUGCCGCGUGUGUGAAGAAGGUCUUCGGAUUGUAAAGCACUUUAAGUUGGGAGGAAGGGCAGUAAGAUAAUACCUUGCUGUUUUGACGUUACCGACAGAAUAAGCACCGGCUAACUCUGUGCCAGCAGCCGCGGUAAUACAGAGGGUGCAAGCGUUAAUCGGAAUUACUGGGCGUAAAGCGCGCGUAGGUGGUUUGUUAAGUUGGAUGUGAAAGCCCCGGGCUCAACCUGGGAACUGCAUCCAAAACUGGCAAGCUAGAGUACGGUAGAGGGUGGUGGAAUUUCCUGUGUAGCGGUGAAAUGCGUAGAUAUAGGAAGGAACACCAGUGGCGAAGGCGACCACCUGGACUGAUACUGACACUGAGGUGNNNAAGCGUGGGGAGCAAACAGGAUUAGAUACCCUGGUAGUCCACGCCGUAAACGAUGUCAACUAGCCGUUGGAAUCCUUGAGAUUUUAGUGGCGCAGCUAACGCAUUAAGUUGACCGCCUGGGGAGUACGGCCGCAAGGUUAAAACUCAAAUGAAUUGACGGGGGCCCGCACAAGCGGUGGAGCAUGUGGUUUAAUUCGAAACAACGCGAAGAACCUUACCAGGCCUUGACAUGCAGAGAACUUUCUAGAGAUAGAUUGGUGCCUUCGGGAACUCUGACACAGGUGCUGCAUGGCUGUCGUCAGCUCGUGUCGUGAGAUGUUGGGUUAAGUCCCGUAACGAGCGCAACCCUUGUCCUUAGUUACCAGCACGUUAUGGUGGGCACUCUAAGGAGACUGCCGGUGACAAACCGGAGGAAGGUGGGGAUGACGUCAAGUCAUCAUGGCCCUUACGGCCUGGGCUACACACGUGCUACAAUGGUCGGUACAGAGGGUUGCCAAGCCGCGAGGUGGAGCUAAUCUCACAAAACCGAUCGUAGUCCGGAUCGCAGUCUGCAACUCGACUGCGUGAAGUCGGAAUCGCUAGUAAUCGCGAAUCAGAAUGUCGCGGUGAAUACGUUCCCGGGCCUUGUACACACCGCCCGUCACACCAUGGGAGUGGGUUGCACCAGAAGUAGCUAGUCUAACCUUCGGGAGGACGGUUACCACGGUGUGAUUCAUGACUGGGGUGAAGUCGUAACAAGGUAACC